This is a long non-coding RNA of Macrobrachium nipponense, 570 nucleotides long. RefSeq lists it as uncharacterized. The transcript has 4 exons. Lineage: Eukaryota; Metazoa; Arthropoda; Malacostraca; Decapoda; Palaemonidae. The record is from RefSeq and is a predicted model, not a curated record.
GUGCAGGGGGAAACGGUUUUAGUGACGUGGCAACUCUGACUGGAAGUCUGGAACGCUUCCUACCUACAACUCAAGUUCAGAACUUCAGAUUCCAGAACUGCAGACUGCACUUUCACUACUCCAACUCCACCAAACCUGUAACCUUAUCCAUCGGAACAUCAUCGUCGGGAUAAUUUCGGGGAACUCCUAAAAUAAAGAAAACCUUCAACAGGCCUUUGGACUGCAUUCUUCUACCAAACCCUGUACUAAUUUUACUAUCCUUUGAAAUUUGUAAUGUCAGCGCCUGGGAAGCUUCAGGAAACUUCAAAAAUAAAAGUGUACUUCAUAAACAGUGCUUACAGUUCACGUUAUACAGCAAAGGAAACUUAAUUGAUUACAAACCAAGAGCAGCAUUACUUCAAGUUACUAGAGGAAAGAUGUCAACAAGAGAGGUACAACAAAAGCAGGUAACGUUUGGUGUUUCUAAAGGAGAGAGAAGUCUAAAAAGUGGCACCAUUGAACACUAUUUUCCUUGCAUCGCGUUCAUUUUCUCUUAUUUUUUUUUUUUUUUUUUUUUUUUUUUUUUUUUUU